Non-coding RNA from Pelodiscus sinensis (Chinese soft-shelled turtle), 2661 nucleotides. Lineage: Eukaryota; Metazoa; Chordata; Testudines; Trionychidae. The record is from RefSeq and is a predicted model, not a curated record.
UGCUGGAGUGAUGGCUGAUGUUUAUAAGUCAGCCCCACCCCUGCAGGCCCCCAACGUCACCCAGAGAAGGAAAAAUCUGAGCCACGACAAAAUCAGCCACAAAUGGGCUGUCUGAACCAGCUGGGACUUGGGCUGCUCAAAACAGCGGGUAGCAGAGCAACACUUCCUGCAGCCAGCUUGCCUGCCUCCUUCACUGCCGCAGCCUCUGCAACUCCGCAGCCCAAACAGGCAGUCCGUGCCCCUGCCUCCGCCACCUCCACCAUGCUGGAUAUUUUCAUCUUAAUGUUUUUUGCCAUCAUCGGCCUGGUGAUCCUCUCCUACAUCAUCUACCUGCUCUAGGAGCCCCACCUGCCGUGCAGAGGAAAGAUGAAGCCUGGGAAGCCAGCCAUCCUGCCAAUCAAAACAUCUUCCAGCUCUCAGGCCUGGGUCAGCCAAGUGUCACCUUAUCCGCAGUGGCAGCCGCAGCUAUGCCUUCUGGAGAAAGAGUUAACCCUUUGCAAGCAACCUGCUUCCCAAGCAGCUGGAGAGAGGAAAGCGCCAAGAAGAGCAGCCAUUGGACGGUGCAGAUGUCAAGACUUAUAAAUGCCCUUCACAGAGCGUCUGAGCUGUAAUGCAUUUGAAGAGCAAAUACAAAGCAACAUGGCAGCAAGAUGGAACAGAGCGAGAGUGAGAGCGCAUUAUACUGAAACCUCAUUAUGGAGAAAUGUGUUGUUUCGUUUGCCAUGACAGUAUUAAGGAAAUGUAACGGUUCAUUGUUUUGUAGCUGCAUAGCUACCCUGAUCCUUGGCAAAAUAGUUGUUGUUUUUUAGUUUUAGAAAGUAUAAAUAUAUUUUUAAUUAAAAAAAAAACAGAAAAAAAAUUAAAAAGCUAAGAAAAUGAGAGCAUAAUCUGAUUGUCAUCAUAGUAUCUUAAGUGAGCACGUCACCUUGCUUUCGUUCUAACUGGCCACUCACUGCUUUUCAUGGGGCAUUACUAACAUGCAGCUGCUUCUGGGGUGGAGGGUGGCAACCAGCUAGCAUGCUUCAGGAAUGGGAGCAGGUAUUUCAGACAAGGACUGUAAAGGAAAAUCCUUAUGCAUAUGAAAGAUGUGAGGGUAACCGUCUUGUCCAGUUAAUCAAGACAGAUGGUUCUGUGUUUGAAAAAUGCUUUAAAACAUGUUUCUGCCACUAAACCAGUUGGGAAUGCGAGUGCCCAGUUUAUAUAGACAGGGCACCAACCAGAAGUCAGAUUAGCUUCACAAACCAUUAGAUAGUCAGCGACUCAUACGGUGAUCAUGUGCAGGGAGAAUCCUGGUUGGAAGGUGUAUGAUACUAUAGUAUGGGCCCAUCUGUUUUGAGGGUGGGCAUCCCCACAGCUCCAAAUAAAGCCAUAGUGAGUUAUGUGUCUAAACCUCCUACUGUACCCAGCCAGGAGUCAGAUCUAUGAGAGGGCAGAGCUUAAUUUACCACUACUUGGAGAGGUUUGAGCAAGGGUCUCUGGGACCUUUUGGGAAAUUUCCCUGUAGGCCAUUGUGAUCCUGAAUGAAACCAGGAUCAGACUCUGUAUUAUCCCUUUUGCUCAGCCCUUCAGUGUGUAGGACCAGGAGGGGUCUGGAAUAGUUAACUAGUGGGAAAGAGAACAGAGGCCCAAACACUAGCAUUAAGUUUUUAAAAAGUGGCCACUUUUGGUGCCCAUCUUGGACCAUUUGGACAGUCCAUAUUUGUGGCUAUUUCCACAAAAUUUGCCCCACUGCCAGUGUUUGAAUUAUGGUAAAAAUGCUGGUAGGCCCAUCCCUUUUGUGCAACUGUGAACAGUGCAAGCAUACCAUAUCUGCCUGAGCACUGCAGUCAUCAUAUUUAUUUCUUCCUCAUCAUCCAGAUUGCUAUCUGCAUGCUGGAUUAUAGCAGACACUUUUUAUUUUGGACAAAUAUAGGCAGUUUUCUGGAAUUAGAAAUGGAAUGAAAAUCAACAGCUUGAAAGUUUUAAUCAUCCACUAUUGUGUAACAAAUAUCACAUGUAAUGUUUAUUUCAGAUUGUAUUGUAUAAUGAAAACAAUCCUCCUAGAAGGUAAGAUGGCUGGUCUCCGGCAUUUAAAUCUUGCUGGUAAGAAAUAAAUCCCUGGCACAGAAGUUUUGUAAUGGAAAAAAUUGUGAUGCAUCCUUAACUCACAUGACACUAGUGUGAUUAGGAGGAAAUUUACUCUGAAUAGUAAUGUUUGUGGUUUAGAUAAGCACUUUUGGAAUACAAGUGGCAAGAGUUACUUGUUAUCUGUUAAUAAGACAUCUACAAAAAUAUUUACAUAAAGAAGGGCACGCUAAAAGUUCAGUAAUGCUGGAAUUAUGGUUAUCACUGCAAACUGAGUACUUGACAUAGUGCAAUUUCCUGUUAGUACAACAUUUCCUGAGGAAGAAGUGCAGUGUGUGUAGUUUUGCCUGUGGAUCCAAAUUGUUGUCCUCCCCCUGCAGUACAUCUGUUUUAGUCCAAAUUGUAUUAUACAGCUCACCAACUGCCAUGGUCCAACUGUCAGGGUUUAAAAAAGAGUGAGACCCAAAAUGAGGAACUGAACCCUUCUCUUACCCCUUCCAAAUAGCUGAAAUUGAAACUCUAAAUGUUAUGGGAAGAACUUCUUCAAUAUAAAUAAAAUUUUCAAUAACCUCAGUUUCAUGAGUCUGUAUAUUUGAU